GUCACAUGGGGGGGCCCUGACCGCAAUGCCGCGUGAGUGAAGAAGGCCUUCGGGUUGUAAAGCUCUUUUGUCAGGGAAGAAACACCGGCUCUAACACAGUCCGGGAAUGACGGUACCUGAAGAAUAAGCACCGGCUAACUACGUGCCAGCAGCCGCGGUAAUACGUAGGGUGCGAGCGUUAAUCGGAAUUACUGGGCGUAAAGCGUGCGCAGGCGGUUAUACAAGACAGGCGUGAAAUCCCCGGGCUUAACCUGGGAAUGGCGCCUGUGACUGUAUAGCUAGAGUGUGUCAGAGGGGGGUAGAAUUCCACGUGUAGCAGUGGGGGUGCGGGAGAUAUGUGGAGGAAUACCAAUGGCGAAGGCAGCCCCCUGGGAUAACACUGACGCUCAUGCACGAAA
Molecule: ribosomal RNA, 398 nt
Filed under: uncultured bacterium
Lineage: Bacteria
Description: bacterial SSU rRNA
Rfam family: Bacterial small subunit ribosomal RNA
Source: RNAcentral